Molecule: ribosomal RNA, 253 nt
Filed under: uncultured bacterium
Lineage: Bacteria
Description: partial 16S ribosomal RNA
Rfam family: Bacterial small subunit ribosomal RNA
Source: RNAcentral
UACAGAGGUCUCAAGCGUUGUUCGGAUUCAUUGGGCGUAAAGGGUGCGUAGGUGGCGCGGUAAGUCGGGUGUGAAAUCUCGGAGCUUAACUCCGAAAUUGCAUUCGAUACUGCCGUGCUCGAGGACUGGAGAGGAGACUGGAAUUCAUGGUGUAGCAGUGAAAUGCGUAGAGAUCAUGAGGAAGACCAGUGGCGAAGGCGGGUCUCUGGACAGUUCCUGACACUGGGGCACGAAGGCCAGGGGAGCAAACGGG